RNAcentral lists this long non-coding RNA (2350 nucleotides) under Nicotiana tabacum (common tobacco). Its description in RNAcentral is "long non-coding RNA (NTAB_LNC019310)". Lineage: Eukaryota; Viridiplantae; Streptophyta; Magnoliopsida; Solanales; Solanaceae. The record is from RNAcentral.
GGUCACAAAUGCACUUUUGAUUUAACUAAAAUCUGCUUUGCGUAUAGGGUGUCCACUACUAAUAUAUCACUAUUUUCUAAUGACAUAUACAUGGGUACAAUAGAAUUUUUGCCGAACUUUACUGGUGUCAGUGACCCCUCUACCUAUAACUUAGGACCGCCUCUAUUCAAAACUCUGUGGAUCUCCACUUAAUUUGUCACGACCCAAAUCAGAGGGCCGCGACGGGCACCCGGUGCUUUACUCAACCGAGUACCAACGUAACAUAUCUUUCUUAUCAUACUAUCGUGAGUAAAUGAGCCAGAAAACCCGUUAUGAGAUAACAAGAAUAAAACAUAAGGGAAUACUCAACAUAUGAAGACCCAAAAUGAUAUACAAACUUAUAUAUGUGACAUACGGGCCUAUAAGGCCGACAUGACCAUUUGUAAACUCAAAACAUAGGCCGACAAGGCCAUAUAAGUAUCCCUACACCUGACAUCUGUCUACAAGCCUCUAAGAGUACAUAAAAUCAUAAAGGUCGGGACAGGGCCCCUCCAUACUAAUCAAUACAUAUCCAAAGCAUACUGACCAAAUAGGCAACUCCGGAGCAAGUGGAGUGCACCAACACCUUCGCUGAGCUGAUAGCCUACUAGGAGGACUGUCAACCUAUCAAUUGGGACCUGCGGGUAUGAAACGCAUCGUCCCUAAGCAAAAGGGACGUCAGUACGAAUAAAGUACCAAGUAUGUAAAGCAGGAAAGCAUAAACAAGAACAGUAAUGUAAAGAGAGAUAGAGGAGAUACAACCUGUAACAUCUGAGUGCCUCUGGUGGCUACUGACAUAAUAUGCAUAAUACAUAUAUAUACAUGAACUUUUUAAAAACAUUCACCUCUGUGGGCAUCAUCAUCAUCAUAUCGUACCCGGCCUCAUAGAGGACUCGGUAAAAAUGUACCCGGCCAUCAUAAGGCUCGGUAGAAUCGUACCCGGCCACGUGGAGCUCGGUAAACCCAACUGAUCAGUGGUUGCACAAUAGGUGCCAUACUCGACCGACUAUAGCGCGGCUCGGUAAAGUAAAAUAGAUACAUAUAUAUAAUACAUGCUCGACUCAUGUAAUCAUGUUCUAAACCUUUCGGAGUGACGUAAGGUUGUUGCACCUUCGAUUAGCAUUAUGGACAUCAUACCAUAAAUAUGAACUUCACAAGGACUCAAGGAUUAUACAUACUUUCUUAGAAUAACUUUGUACGGAAAGAACAACAUGGACAACAUUAGUUGCUAGGAGUAGAUUCAUUAUGAAAUAGCAUAUCGUUUAUGUUCAUUUCAUUUUGAUCAUGCCAAAAAAAAGAAAAAAGUGCCUUAACAUACCUGAGUAGGGAAAAAUCUGUAUGAUGUUCUUGCAGAUAGUUAUUCAGUUAUGCGUGGGUGUAGUUUUAGGAGUCCAAUGAUCUACUAUCCCAUAUUUGGUAAAAAUAACAGCUUUCUAUAGUCUUCUUUACCAUCAUUAAAUCUCCAGAUCCAUUUGAUAAGUAUACUACCAAACUUCUAUUUGAAACUUGAGAUUCUUCACUCCCAUGCCACCACUUUCUUUAUUAAUCACCACAUGUUGCCAUUGGCAGAUGCUUCAUUCUCCUUUCACAAAGACAUGCCGAACCAGAAUAUUCCACAGAAAUAAUUAUACAGAUUGGGAAGCCAAAGGAAUUACUUGAGAACUUGACCUCCAACCAUUAACAAUCUCCUCUAGACAUGGACCAACCAAUGAAUCGAGAGAGAGGGAGAGGAUUCAGCCGUAUAUAUAAUAUGACAAGUUUCCUCAUAUGCCUAAUCUUAUUCUAUUUGGCUGAGCAGCUAUAGUUGUUUGACUUCGAUUUCUUAUUGGCUAGGAGUUGGUUUACUUCAAUGACACAGAAGUGCGUAGAGUAAAUAGUCAGCUUUGAGAUGGUACAUGUAAAUAGCACCAAAAUAACAAGUAUACAAGAUCAACCUUCCUGUUCAUAGGAUAACCUUUAUUUACAAUAUAAGAUAUGCUAUUCAAGGAUUUUUAACAGAAACGGCUUCGACAAGCAGAAUUCAAAAGGAAGCGUAAGAAAGAGAUAAUCUUCACCAUUUAAUAAUUAAAGGAAAAGUAUCCAUCCAACACAUUGUCUCUCCACCUAAUUAAAAAUAAGUAAGAGUCAUAUCUCUUACGAGGUCCAACCGAGAGGUUGUGAGUUCGAGUCUCUCCAAGAGCAAGGUGGGAAGUUCUUGGAGGGAAGGAUGCCGGGGGUCUAUUUGGAAACAGUCUCUCUAUCCUAGGGUAGGGGUAAGGUCUGCGUACACACUACCCUCCCCAGACACCACUAAGUGGGAUUAUACUGGGUUGUUGUUGUUGUUGUUGUUGUC